ACCAAGCACGGUUAGAAGCAAAUGUGAGGGUAACCGGAGAAACAAAUUUCAGGAAUAAAUGGCCAAGUCCCUUUGCGAUGGUUUCCGGCCUACUUCUCCUCCUCUCUUUCUUCAAAUACCUUUACUCUCCGUUCCGUUGGCUCGCUGUCGCAGCCGUCGUCGCCGGAAUUUAUCCAAUACUGGCCAAAGCUGUAGCAUCCCUUGCAAGGUUUAGAAUCGACAUCAACAUUCUUGUUAUUAUAACUGGUAAUGUUUCCGCUCUUUUUUCUUAUAAUUAAUAUAUAUUAUGAGGAGUGAAUCCCCAAUUUAUAUGAUAUGAAUCACAUUUCUCAUAAUAUUAAUUAAGGUGAAUUUUAAAAAAUACUAAUAGUUGUGAUAAAUAUAAGUAGUAUGUGUCUAUAUAAUAUUGUGAUUAGUUAGAAAUAUUAUGAUCAGCACAAAAGCAAUUGUUCUGUAGUUUGGUGUGUGUCUUUCCUCUGCAUUUGGCCUUUUUAUGCUACUUUGAGACCAAAAGAGAAAAGAAAAAAGAAAAUCUAUAAAAUAUCUGGUAACAUAUAGUAGUAUUUGUUAGAAAAUGUUUAUAACUUCUACUUACUAAUUCAACAAAAAAUGAAGGUUAUAGAGUCUACUUCAAAACUUAUAUUGAUCAUGUUGCAGUUAUAAUGUAGAAAAAAUAUGAAAUAAUUUGAACUCGGUCUUUGUGAACUCAAAUAUCUUAUAUAGUUAAAAUGCUCUUCCGUUGUUGUUUCAAUCAGUUGGAGCAACAAUUGGUAUGAGAGAUUACACAGAAGCUGGAGUAGUUGUCUUCUUAUUCACAAUCGCUGAAUGGCUCCAGUCAAGAGCUAGCUAUAAGGUUUUCCACCUCUUUCAUCUCUUUUGAUUCAUGUGUCAAUUUUUUUGUGAGUGCUCAAGUAGUUGUGUUUACACAUUGCAGGCAAGUGCAGUGAUGCAGUCUUUGAUGAGUUUAGCUCCACAAAAGGCAAUGAUUGCAGAAACUGGAGAAGAAGUUCAAGUGGAUGAGCUCAAGAUCAACACAGUUAUAGCUGUCAAAGCUGGUGAAACCAUACCAAUUGAUGGAGUUGUUGUGGAUGGAAACUGUGAAGUUGAUGAGAAAACCUUGACCGGCGAAGCAUUCCCCGUGCCUAAACUCAGAGAUUCGACGGUUUGGGCUGGAACCAUCAAUCUAAAUGGU
This 1192-nucleotide long non-coding RNA is filed under the name Arabidopsis lyrata. RNAcentral's name for it is "long non-coding RNA (ALYR_LNC000789)". Lineage: Eukaryota; Viridiplantae; Streptophyta; Magnoliopsida; Brassicales; Brassicaceae. The record is from RNAcentral.